UGGGGGAUCGGAGUGCUUGCACUUCGCUGACGAGCGGCGGACGGGUGCGUAAUACGUAGGAAUCUGCCUGGUAGUGGGGGAUAGCCCGGAGAAAUCCGGAUUAAUACCGCAUACGCCCUAAGGGGGAAAGGAGGGGACUCUUCGGAGCCUUUCGCUAUCAGAUGAGCCUGCGUCGGAUUAGCUGGUUGGUGGGGUAAAGGCCUACCAAGGCGACGAUCCGUAGCUGGUCUGAGAGGAUGAUCAGCCACACUGGGACUGAGACACGGCCCAGACUCCUACGGGAGGCAGCAGUGGGGAAUAUUGCACAAUGGGCGAAAGCCUGAUGCAGCCAUGCCGCGUGUGUGAAGAAGGCCCUAGGGUUGUAAAGCACUUUCAGCGAGGAGGAAAGGUUAAAGGUUAAUACCCUUUAGCUGUGACGUUACUCGCAGAAGAAGCACCGGCUAACUCCGUGCCAGCAGCCGCGGUAAUACGGAGGGUGCGAGCGUUAAUCGGAAUUACUGGGCGUAAAGCGUGCGUAGGCGGCCUUUUAAGUUGGAUGUGAAAGCCCCGGGCUCAACCCGGGAACUGCAUCCAAAACUGGAAGGCUCGAGUGCGGGAGAGGAGUGUGGAAUUUCCUGUGUAGCGGUGAAAUGCGUAGAUAUAGGAAGGA
Molecule: ribosomal RNA, 649 nt
Filed under: uncultured bacterium
Lineage: Bacteria
Description: bacterial SSU rRNA
Rfam family: Bacterial small subunit ribosomal RNA
Source: RNAcentral